This 101-nucleotide microRNA precursor is filed under the name Canis lupus familiaris (dog). Its description in RNAcentral is "mir-8834 microRNA precursor family". It matches the Rfam family "mir-8834 microRNA precursor family". The record is from Rfam by way of RNAcentral. Lineage: Eukaryota; Metazoa; Chordata; Mammalia; Carnivora; Canidae. RNAcentral also lists the same sequence under 1 other name.
AAGAACAGCAGUGGCAGCGGCCAGCUCUGGAGCCGUGGAUUCAGCUCCUGCUGUUACUACAGAGCUCUCAGUUUGCAGGGGCCUGGAUGUUCUGGGGGAGG